RNAcentral lists this long non-coding RNA (865 nucleotides) under Bos taurus (domestic cattle). RNAcentral describes it as "long non-coding RNA NONBTAT001726". Lineage: Eukaryota; Metazoa; Chordata; Mammalia; Artiodactyla; Bovidae. The record is from RNAcentral.
GGAUGAGUUAUCUGAGAUCUUAAAAUAGCAUUUUGUUCAUUUGACUAGCACUUUAUAAGCCAAUGAAACAAACACAGACUCUCUGAGAGCCUAAAUGCUCAUUUGUAACUUCCAGAAACGCAGCAAAGACGAACAGAAAAUGAAGCUGUGACUGUUCCUUAAAAUUUAUUGGCACAGCUAAAUAGGAGAUGAGAAUUGACAAAUGCUGUGAUAGCUUUAUUCUCCUAAAAAGAUUUUGAAAGAUUUUAAAAAAGCAUAGCCACUCUUGUGUUCAAAAUUUUUUAUGUGACAAAGACUUUCCCAGCAGAAUGAUUUGCAGUUCUGUAAAUAUCUGAAAUAAAAGUCAGCUGAAGAAGAAUCCAACUCGAAAUUUAUAUUAGGUGGCAAUAAAAAGUAUAUGCCAUUUUGUAUUUAUGUAAAAUAAUUGGCCCUCUUUGUCUUUGCUCAUAUCCUGUGUCAGAUAGCUUUUCUGAACCAGAUAAAUGACUGCCCUGGUUAGAGAUGUGCAGUGAAGACAGUGAGUGUCCUUAACUCGUGUGUCACAAGAGUCUCACCCAGGGGCAAAGGUCAAGUCCUUCCUCUCCGUCUUACCAGCCAAGCUGCUCAGUGGGGCUAUUUUGGUAAUGCUUUAAUCUGAACUUAGAAUUGAUUUCUUUUAAAAACUCUAACUGUUAAUGGUAUAAAACUAGCAGAUAGUGCCUCGUUAUCAUCCUUGAGUAAGACAAUUCUGUUGGCGGAAAAAACAGGAGCCCCUUUCUCCUUUCGUGUUAAGCACCCUAAAGCCAUCAGCAUCUCUUUUGACAAAUGCUAGCCCUUUCUCUGUGCUUUGGCAUCAAGUUCCUGUGUCAUCACCUGGAUUGUAAAA